AGUGAACGCUGGCGGUAGGCCUAACACAUGCAAGUCGAACGGCAGCACAGAGGAGCUUGCUCCUUGGGUGGCGAGUGGCGGACGGGUGAGGAAUACAUCGGAAUCUACUCUGUCGUGGGGGAUAACGUAGGGAAACUUACGCUAAUACCGCAUACGACCUACGGGUGAAAGCAGGGGACCUUCGGGCCUUGCGCGAUUGAAUGAGCCGAUGUCGGAUUAGCUAGUUGGCGGGGUAAAGGCCCACCAAGGCGACGAUCCGUAGCUGGUCUGAGAGGAUGAUCGGCCACACUGGAAAUGAGACACGGUCCAGACUCGUACGGGAGGCAGCAGUGGGGAAUAUUGGACAAUGGGCGCAAGCCUGAUCCGGCCAUACCGCGUGGGUGAAGAAGGCCUUCGGGUUGUAAAGCCCUUUUGUUGGGAAAGAAAUCCAGCUGGCUAAUACCCGGUUGGGAUGACGGUACCCAAAGAAUAAGCACCGGCUAACUUCGUGCCAGCAGCCGCAGUAA
Molecule: ribosomal RNA, 506 nt
Filed under: uncultured bacterium
Lineage: Bacteria
Description: partial 16S ribosomal RNA
Rfam family: Bacterial small subunit ribosomal RNA
Source: RNAcentral